UACAGAGGUCCCAAGCGUUGUUCGGAUUUACUGGGCGUAAAGGGUGCGUAGGUGGCGAGGUAAGUUCGAUGUGAAAUCUCCGAGCUCAACUCGGAAAUGGCAUUGAAUACUAUCCCGCUUGAGGGUCGGAGGGGAGACUGGAAUUCUCGGUGUAGCAGUGAAAUGCGUAGAUAUCGAGAGGAACACCAGUGGCGAAGGCGAGUCUCUGGACGACUCCUGACACUGAGGCACGAAAGCUGGGGGGAGCAAACAGG
This 254-nucleotide ribosomal RNA is filed under the name uncultured bacterium. Its description in RNAcentral is "partial 16S ribosomal RNA". It matches the Rfam family "Bacterial small subunit ribosomal RNA", at positions 524 to 776 of the family's 1533-position model. The record is from RNAcentral.